Molecule: ribosomal RNA, 240 nt
Filed under: uncultured bacterium
Lineage: Bacteria
Description: partial 16S ribosomal RNA
Rfam family: Bacterial small subunit ribosomal RNA
Source: RNAcentral
UGAGCAAUCUGCCCUUCUCAUCGGAAUAAGCGUUGGAAACGACGUCUAAUGCCGAAUACGACCUCCUUUCGCAUGAUCGGAGGUGGAAAGCUCCGGCGGAGAAGGAUGAGCUCGCGGCCUAUCAGCUAGUUGGUGUGGGUAAUGGCCCACCAAGGCGACGGACGGGUAGCCGGCCUGGAGGAGGGUCGACCCGGCCACACGUGGGACUGAGACACGGCCCAGACCUCCGUACGGGAGCAG